Pangasius djambal is the source of this 72-nucleotide non-coding RNA. The record is from the annotation of a GenBank genome assembly. Lineage: Eukaryota; Metazoa; Chordata; Actinopteri; Siluriformes; Pangasiidae.
UUCCUGUUAGACUAGCGGCUAGUAUGCGGCGCUCUGACCGCCACGGCCCGGGUUCGAGUCACGCUCAGAUAA